This 26-nucleotide transfer RNA is filed under the name Aneides lugubris. RNAcentral's name for it is "partial tRNA-Ser". Lineage: Eukaryota; Metazoa; Chordata; Amphibia; Caudata; Plethodontidae. The record is from RNAcentral.
AAGAAUUAGAAAUACAGAAACUGCUA